CGUCAGCGGCACGGGGACGCUGUCCCAGAGCUACCAGUACGAGGUGUGUCAGGAGAGGAUCUGGGACCAAAGAAUUUAAGAUUUUGAACUCUGUUGUCUCCAUCCAACAGAAGUCUGUAAAUGAUGUGGAGGAAAACUCACAUUUUGUAAAUAACAGGUUUCAAUUAGGAAUUUGGAUGAAGAAUUUGAAAGAAAAUCUUGAAGAAUUAAUCCUUUCCCUUUUGCUGAGGGAAUUUUAAGAAAUCACAUCUAUAGCUGAAGACAAAAGCCUGUAAGAAGAGUUCGGGACCCUAAGGCUUGCUAUUCACCAUCAUUUCCGGACGAGUUACCGACUAGUAGAUCUAUCACCGUCUCUACAGUAGAGCUGAGCCCUGUUUCUGGAAAGACAUUUGUGGAAUUAAA
This is a long non-coding RNA of Suricata suricatta (meerkat), 402 nucleotides long. RefSeq lists it as uncharacterized. NCBI's taxonomy places the organism in Eukaryota, Metazoa, Chordata, Mammalia, Carnivora, Herpestidae. The transcript is spliced from 3 exons. The record is from RefSeq and is a predicted model, not a curated record.